Molecule: long non-coding RNA, 280 nt
Organism: Macadamia integrifolia
Lineage: Eukaryota; Viridiplantae; Streptophyta; Magnoliopsida; Proteales; Proteaceae
Exons: 2
Source: RefSeq, a predicted model, not a curated record
GUGGAACAGCAAAGAAGGAAGAAGAAGAAGAAGGAGGACUGCCUUCUCAUAGAUGGUGGAACUGGUGCUGAGGCAGGAUUGGAUUUUGACAGUGGUUGUGAGGCUCGUGUCUGAUGGACAUCACUUCAGUUAUUUCAAUUAUUACUUUUGAUGUAAAUGUUUAUGAAAUAUGUAAAAUGUAAAUAUUGUACCUAUGGAUUGUCAACAAUUGAAUCUUGUAUAUUUGUAAUUUAACACUCUAGUACAUCACCAAUGAUAUUUAUAUGACUUUAUUAGUGUA